This 189-nucleotide long non-coding RNA is filed under the name Rhinopithecus roxellana (golden snub-nosed monkey). Its description in RNAcentral is "lncRNA (ENSRROG00000045828.1)". The record is from RNAcentral. Lineage: Eukaryota; Metazoa; Chordata; Mammalia; Primates; Cercopithecidae.
ACUCUUCCUGGGUCCCCUGGCCCCAAGCCAGUGUCCAUCAGCCAGAUGCCAGACCCCAGUGUGCUAAAACUCAUGCCCUUCCUGAUGCCCUGGUCUCCUGCACUGAGCUAUGUGAGCUCUUUCACCCAGCAGACUCCCUGGCAUUGACCAGCAUAGAUGGUGGCCCUGGAGGACGACUUGUAUUGGGAC